GACGAACGCUGGCGGCGUGCUUAACACAUGCAAGUCGAACGGGCCUGCCUGGCUUUGGUUGGGUGGGUGAGUGGCGAACGGGUGAGUAACACGUGAGUAACCUGCCCUCUUCUCUUGGAUAACUGCUUGAAAGGGCGGCUAAUACGGGAUGUUCUGGCUGCCUCGCAUGGGGUGGUUUGGAAAGAUUCGGCCUGGUUUUGGUUGUUUUGGUGGGGGAUGGGCUCGCGGCUUAUCAGCUUGUUGGUGGGGUGAUGGCCUACCAAGGCGGUGACGGGUAGCCGGCCUGAGAGGGUGGACGGUCACACUGGGACUGAGACACGGCCCAGACUCCUGCGGGAGGCAGCAGUGGGGGAUUUUGCACAAUGGGCGCAAGCCUGAUGCAGCGACGCCGCGUGAGGGAUGGAGGCCUUCGGGUUGUGAACCUCUGUCGCCGGUGAUGUAGGCUCUGCUUU
Molecule: ribosomal RNA, 452 nt
Filed under: Actinomyces sp. oral taxon 448
Lineage: Bacteria; Bacillati; Actinomycetota; Actinomycetes; Actinomycetales; Actinomycetaceae
Description: bacterial SSU rRNA
Rfam family: Bacterial small subunit ribosomal RNA
Source: RNAcentral